GGACCGGAGGCGCGACCCCUCGGCCCAGCUUGAGGCCCGGCCUAGGACCGGAGGCGCGACCCCUCGGCCCACCUUGCGGGAGCCGCCUAGGACCGGAGGCGCGACCCCUCGGCCCACCUUGAGGCCCGGCCUAGGACCGGAGGCGCGACCCCUGGGCCCACCUUGAGGCCCGGCCUAGGACUGGAGGCGCGACCCCUCGGCCCACCUUACGGGAGCCGCCUAGGGCCGGAGGCGCGACCCCUCGGCCCAGCUUGAGGCCCGGCCUAGGACCGGAGGCGCGACCCCUCGGCCCACCUUGAGGCCCGGCCUAGGACUGGAGGCGCGACCCCUCGGCCCACCUUGAGGCCCGGCCUAGGACCGGAGGCGCGACCCCUGGGCCCACCUUGAGGCCCGGCCUAGGACUGGAGGCGCGACCCCUCGGCCCACCUUGAGGCCCGGCCUAGGACCGGAGGCGCGACCCCUGGGCCCACCUGGCGGCCCGGCCGGCACAGCCCGCCUCUCCUCUCCAGGCCAGGGCCCCACACCUUCCGCCUGACAGCCAGCCAAGCUCUUCAGUCCCCCGCCCUCCACCUGCCAGGGAGGCUCCGGGCGUUGUACCUGCCACCACGGGGUAGGUCUGACACAUAUACUCACAGAAAUGAGUUAUUUAAAGAAGACGGUCCAGAUUCCACAGUCC
This 676-nucleotide long non-coding RNA is filed under the name Homo sapiens (human). Its description in RNAcentral is "HSALNT0038060". Lineage: Eukaryota; Metazoa; Chordata; Mammalia; Primates; Hominidae. The record is from RNAcentral.